AUUGAACGCUGGCGGCAGGCCUAACACAUGCAAGUCGAACGAGUGGCGGACGGGUGAGUAAUGUAUGGGAAACUGCCUGAUGGAGGGGGAUAACUACUGGAAACGGUAGCUAAUACUGCAUACCAUAAGAUGAGCCAAGAUGGGAUUCGCUAGUGGGUGGGGUAACGGCUCACCAAGGCGACGAUCCCUAGCUGGUCUGAGAGGAUGAGCAUCCACAUGGGGACUGAGACACGGCCCAGCCUCCUACGGGAGGCAGCAGUGGGGAAUAUUGCACAAUGGGCGCAAGCCUGAUGCAGCCAUGCCGCGUGUAUGAAGAAGGCCUUCGGGUUGUAAAGUACUUUCAGUCGGGAGGCGUUACCCGCAGAAGAAGCACCGUCUAACGCCGUGCCAGCAGCCGCGGUAAUAC
Molecule: ribosomal RNA, 406 nt
Filed under: uncultured bacterium
Lineage: Bacteria
Description: partial 16S ribosomal RNA
Rfam family: Bacterial small subunit ribosomal RNA
Source: RNAcentral